GAUGAACGCUGGCGGCGUGCCUAAUACAUGCAAGUCGAGCGAACGGACGAGAAGCUUGCUUCUCUGAUGUUAGCGGCGGACGGGUGAGUAACACGUGGAUAACCUACCUAUAAGACUGGGAUAACUUCGGGAAACCGGAGCUAAUACCGGAUAAUAUUUUGAACCGCAUGGUUCAAAAGUGAAAGACGGUCUUGCUGUCACUUAUAGAUGGAUCCGCGCUGCAUUAGCUAGUUGGUAAGGUAACGGCUUACCAAGGCAACGAUGCAUAGCCGACCUGAGAGGGUGAUCGGCCACACUGGAACUGAGACACGGUCCAGACUCCUACGGGAGGCAGCAGUAGGGAAUCUUCCGCAAUGGGCGAAAGCCUGACGGAGCAACGCCGCGUGAGUGAUGAAGGUCUUCGGAUCGUAAAACUCUGUUAUUAGGGAAGAACAUAUGUGUAAGUAACUGUGCACAUCUUGACGGUACCUAAUCAGAAAGCCACGGCUAACUACGUGCCAGCAGCCGCGGUAAUACGUAGGUGGCAAGCGUUAUCCGGAAUUAUUGGGCGUAAAGCGCGCGUAGGCGGUUUUUUAAGUCUGAUGUGAAAGCCCACGGCUCAACCGUGGAGGGUCAUUGGAAACUGGAAAACUUGAGUGCAGAAGAGGAAAGUGGAAUUCCAUGUGUAGCGGUGAAAUGCGCAGAGAUAUGGAGGAACACCAGUGGCGAAGGCGACUUUCUGGUCUGUAACUGACGCUGAUGUGCGAAAGCGUGGGGAUCAAACAGGAUUAGAUACCCUGGUAGUCCACGCCGUAAACGAUGAGUGCUAAGUGUUAGGGGGUUUCCGCCCCUUAGUGCUGCAGCUAACGCAUUAAGCACUCCGCCUGGGGAGUACGACCGCAAGGUUGAAACUCAAAGGAAUUGACGGGGACCCGCACAAGCGGUGGAGCAUGUGGUUUAAUUCGAAGCAACGCGAAGAACCUUACCAAAUCUUGACAUCCUUUGACAACUCUAGAGAUAGAGCCUUCCCCUUCGGGGGACAAAGUGACAGGUGGUGCAUGGUUGUCGUCAGCUCGUGUCGUGAGAUGUUGGGUUAAGUCCCGCAACGAGCGCAACCCUUAAGCUUAGUUGCCAUCAUUAAGUUGGGCACUCUAAGUUGACUGCCGGUGACAAACCGGAGGAAGGUGGGGAUGACGUCAAAUCAUCAUGCCCCUUAUGAUUUGGGCUACACACGUGCUACAAUGGACAAUACAAAGGGCAGCGAAACCGCGAGGUCAAGCAAAUCCCAUAAAGUUGUUCUCAGUUCGGAUUGUAGUCUGCAACUCGACUACAUGAAGCUGGAAUCGCUAGUAAUCGUAGAUCAGCACGCUACGGUGAAUACGUUCCCGGGUCU
This 1372-nucleotide ribosomal RNA is filed under the name uncultured bacterium. Its description in RNAcentral is "bacterial SSU rRNA". It matches the Rfam family "Bacterial small subunit ribosomal RNA", at positions 28 to 1381 of the family's 1533-position model. The record is from RNAcentral.